GCCAAUUUCUUUAUGAAUUGCUCUUGAACACAUUCCAUUCAAUUUUUACUUCCAUCACUCCAGUAGACCACCCCUCUCAGGGUACUAAUGACUAAUGUUGAUUAACUAAUGUUAAAUCCCAUGGUCAGUUCUCAAGCCUCAUCUUACUUUGUCUGUCAUCACUAUUGCAGCUGAUUUACUUCUCUGUAUUGAAGCAUGUUUUCUCUCAUUUUCUAGGGAAAUACCUCACGAGGUACUCACCUUUUCUCUUUUCUCUUGCUUUUCUUCAAUUAUUUUUCUACUUUUCCCCCCUUGAUUUCUCUUCCUUUUUCAAGCCUCUAUUUUUAGAAUACAUUUUUUGGUCCAUACCCACUACCUGAUUUUACCCCAUCUCAUCACUCUAACUACCAUAAGUAUAUUAAUAAAUGCCUGAUCUAUAAUCCAAUUAAUGACAGUGAUAUUAUUCCAGUUGCCAAAUCCAGAAGUGUUGAGUGUAUCCUUAACUUUCUGUCAUUGCUUAUAUCCAGUCUUUCAUCGUAUUUAUAAGCACUCCCUUCAGUGUAUCUACAGUUUUUCCAGUUUUUACCAUCCACAGGGCUGCUAACCUGGUCCAGUCACCAUCGUGUCCUAACUAGAUUCUUGUAAUAAACUCCUAAUUGAUCGUCCUGCUUCUACCUUUGCCCGUAGAGUCUUUUCUCUCUAUUAAUAUGUUUAAAUGAGCCAUCUAAUUCUCACAGUCUUCCAGUAGCUUCUAAUCUAACACCUCACUUUCACUCUGACCUAAUUUCUGUUCUUCCCUUUGUUUAUGUUUGCAUCAAACACAUUAGUUUUCUUGGAAAUGCCAGAAACAUCCACUUCUAGGUCUUUACAUAUGAUGUACCUCUGCCUGACAUGCUCCUCCCUAGACAUGCACUUGGCUGUGUCACUCCCUUCCUUCAGGUUCUUACUCACCUUUGGGAUAUCCACCAAUCACCAUCUCUCCCUCCUGACAUUUCAUAUCUGCUUCCUUUCCUCUAUCCCUAGCUUUUCAAGAGCUUUUAUUACUAAGAUAUUUUUUCCUGUGUGUGUUGUUGAUUUGUCUCCCAAUUCAAAUUAUUUUUGUUGUUUUAUUUAUUUGCAAGUUUUAUUUGGUUCACUACAGGGGAUAGAACCAACUAACCUGGCUCUAGAGUAUGUUAAAAAAGAUUUUGUAAAAUGAUAAAUCAGAUUUUGAUUAUUCCAUAACUGUGUUCUCCAGAUUUUUUCCUAAAAGAGCAAUGAUUUUGUAAAAAUACUUUGAGAGAAAAAUAUUUCCUCACUAAAAAAUAUCCCUUCUAUUUAAGAUUCUCACAUUCAUAUUUUAAAGACUCAGUAAUUUGGUGAGAGACAGCAGAGUGUCACAUUAAGGAACAUAAGCACAGGAGUUCUACUGUUUGGUUUCCAAUCCUAGUCCCCACUGCAUAAUAACAGUAUUGUUUGGGGCACACUGUUUAACAUUUUUCCUCUGUUCUCCCAUCUUUAAUUUGGGGUUACAAUAGUACUUUAAAGGGGUGUUUUGAAGAUAAGUUAAUUCCAUAAAGUGCUUCGAACAAUAUUUGAAGCAUAAUGAGUGGUUAUUUUUUUUUAAUAAAUUAGUUUAUCUUUGUUGUAACCAAUAUUUAUUUGUUAAUACAACCUUUCUUCUACCAAACUAUACACAUACAUAAUUAAUAUUUGGUAAUACUGUUUUGUGGAAUACACUGAAAAAUAAUUAUUCUGACUCUUCUAAGGAUCUCCUUUGGAAUUGAAAUCAUUAUUUGCCUAUCAAAUCCAAAAGAAAUGAUAAAAUACAGUUCUUAUGAUUCUUUGGUGAGCAGUCAAACACUCUGGAGGAGUCAUAUGAAAUAAGAACUUUGUGUGUGAACCGUGGUGCUGGGUAUUGAACCCAGGGCCUUGUGCAUGCAAUGCAAGCACUCUACCAACUGAACUAUACUCCCAGCCAAAAAUAAGAACUUUUUUAAUGUUAGCAUUUUCUGUUAACUAUAUUAAAAUCAGGCAUACUUUAAAUCCUGGGAACACAGUACCACACUUGUUCUCUUUGGUGUCUGGUCUUUGCUUUCCUUGUAUAAUCCUCACAUUUAAUGACAGAAUUUCCUGUGUCCAUAAGGCUCUAAAUUGUUUUAAAGUUUU
This 2127-nucleotide long non-coding RNA is filed under the name Marmota monax (woodchuck). Lineage: Eukaryota; Metazoa; Chordata; Mammalia; Rodentia; Sciuridae. The record is from RNAcentral.